GAUGAACGCUGGCGGCGUGCCUAAUACAUGCAAGUCGAGCGAACAGACGAGGAGCUUGCUCCUCUGACGUUAGCGGCGGACGGGUGAGUAACACGUGGAUAACCUACCUAUAAGACUGGGAUAACUUCGGGAAACCGGAGCUAAUACCGGAUAAUAUAUUGAACCGCAUGGUUCAAUAGUGAAAGACGGUUUUGCUGUCACUUAUAGAUGGAUCCGCGCCGCAUUAGCUAGUUGGUAAGGUAACGGCUUACCAAGGCAACGAUGCGUAGCCGAUCUGAGAGGGUGAUCAGCCACACUGGAACUGAGACACGGUCCAGACUCCUACGGGAGGCAGCAGUAGGGAAUAUUCCGCAAUGGGCGAAAGCCUGACGGAGCAACGCCGCGUGAGUGAUGAAGGUCUUCGGAUCGUAAAACUCUGUUAUUAGGGAAGAACAAAUGUGUAAGUAACUAUGCACGUCUUGACGGUACCUAAUCAGAAAGCCCCGGCUAACUACGUG
This 497-nucleotide ribosomal RNA is filed under the name uncultured bacterium. Its description in RNAcentral is "partial 16S ribosomal RNA". It matches the Rfam family "Bacterial small subunit ribosomal RNA", at positions 28 to 507 of the family's 1533-position model. The record is from RNAcentral.